RNAcentral lists this ribosomal RNA (470 nucleotides) under uncultured bacterium. Its description in RNAcentral is "bacterial SSU rRNA". It matches the Rfam family "Bacterial small subunit ribosomal RNA", at positions 335 to 800 of the family's 1533-position model. The record is from RNAcentral.
ACUCCUACGGGAGGCAGCAGUAGGAAUAUUGGUCAAUGGGUGAGAGCCUGAACCAGCCAUGCCGCGUGCAGGAAGACGGCCUUCUGGGUUGUAAACUGCUUUUACCAGGGGAUAAAACGACUCUGCGGAGUUAAUUGAAGGUACCUGGAGAAUAAGCACCGGCUAACUACGUGCCAGCAGCCGCGGUAAUACGUAGGGUGCGAGCGUUAAUCGGAAUUACUGGCGUAAAGCGCAUGCAGGCGGCCUGUUAAGUCAGAUGUGAAAGCCCGGGGCUUAACCUCGGAAUUGCAUUUGAAACUGGCAGACUAGAGUACUGUAGAGGGGGUAGAAUUUCAUGUGUAGCGGUGAAAUGCAGUAGAGAUCUGAAGGAAUACCGGUGGCGAAGGCGGCCCCCUGGACCAGAUACUGACACUCAGAUGCGAAAGCGUGGGGCAGCAAACAGGAUUAGGAAACCCAUGGUAGGCUCCUGC